Molecule: ribosomal RNA, 412 nt
Filed under: uncultured bacterium
Lineage: Bacteria
Description: bacterial SSU rRNA
Rfam family: Bacterial small subunit ribosomal RNA
Source: RNAcentral
ACCUUGGAAGUGCAUCCGAAACUCCCUCGCUCGAGGAUUGGAAGGGAGACUGGAAUUCUCGGUGUAGCGGUGAAAUGCGUAGAUAUCGAGAGGAACACCGGUGGCGAAGGCGGGUCUCUGGACAGUUCCUGACGCUGAGGCACGAAAGCCAGGGGAGCAAACGGGAUUAGAUACCCCGGUAGUCCUGGCCCUAAACGGUGCUCACUUGGUGUGGGAGGGAAUCGACCCCUUCCGUGCCGAAGCUAACGCAUUAAGUGAGCCGCCUGGGGAGUACGGUCGCAAGAUUAAAACUCAAAGAAAUUGACGGGGGCCCGCACAAGCGGUGGAGCAUGUGGCUUAAUUCGAUGCAACGCGAAGAACCUUACCUGGCCUUGACAUGCACGUAGUAGAACCAUGAAAGUGGGACGAGGUA